GCCGAUAUAGUUUAGUGGUAAAACAAGAGAUUUGUAACCUCUUGUCCUCAGUUCGAUUCUGAGUGUCGGCU
Molecule: transfer RNA, 71 nt
Filed under: Ruminococcus sp. AM27-16
Lineage: Bacteria; Bacillati; Bacillota; Clostridia; Eubacteriales; Oscillospiraceae
Description: tRNA-Thr
Rfam family: tRNA
About the family: Transfer RNA (tRNA) molecules are approximately 80 nucleotides in length.
Source: RNAcentral